GUUCCUUGAAAAUCACCCUUGGCAUUAGCCUUGAUGGUUAUGAGGGGGAUGAGAUUUGCUGCUAGGAACCACUAGAGGCUUCAGAUCACCACCUGCUCCCCCAGUAUGAAGAGGGUUGAAGCCCAGGAUCUGACGGUC
This is a small nucleolar RNA of Grammomys surdaster, 138 nucleotides long. RefSeq annotates it as small nucleolar RNA ACA64. NCBI's taxonomy places the organism in Eukaryota, Metazoa, Chordata, Mammalia, Rodentia, Muridae. The transcript has a single exon. The record is from RefSeq and is a predicted model, not a curated record.